CCUACGGGAGGCAGCAGUGGGGAAUCUUGCGCAAUGGGCGGAAGCCUGACGCAGCAACGCCGCGUGCGGGAAGAAGGCCUUAGGGUCGUAAACCGCUUUCAGGGGGGACGAAGCUUCCGGGGUUAAUAGCCUACGGGGUGACGGUACUCCCAAAAGAAGGUCCGGCUAACUACGUGCCAGCAGCCGCGGUAAUACGUAGGGACCGAGCGUUGUCCGGAAUCAUUGGGCGUAAAGAGCGUGUAGGCGGCCUAGUAGGUCUCGUGUGAAAUCCCGCGGCUCAACCGCGGACCCGCACGGGAAACCCCUAGGCUCGAGUCCGGAAGAGGAGAGCGGAAUUCCUGGUGUAGCGGUGAAAUGCGCAGAUAUCAGGAAGAACACCCGUAGCGAAGGCGGCUCUCUGGGACGGUACUGACGCUGAGACGCGAAAGCGUGGGGAGCAAACAGGAUUAGAUACCCUGGUAGUCCACGCCGUAACGAUGAUGCUAGUGUGGAGGUGUCGACUCCUCCCGUCGCCGACGACUACGCAUAAGCACUCCCGCCGUCGGGGUAGGUACCGGGCCGGCCGAACGGACGUAAAACCGUAACCGAAACGGAAAGUUAGUACGGCGUGAGACGUCGCCCGAACGGACGACCGACCGAGGGGAGGUAGG
This 650-nucleotide ribosomal RNA is filed under the name uncultured bacterium. RNAcentral describes it as "bacterial SSU rRNA". The stretch from base 1 to 540 matches the Rfam family "Bacterial small subunit ribosomal RNA", at positions 338 to 873 of the family's 1533-position model. The record is from RNAcentral.